CUCUCUCUCUCUCUCAAGGAUAAAUAAACAUUAAAAAAAAAAAUUUUUUUUAAAGAUGAUGCAGGUGGAAAGGAUGCUCCAGUAGCUCCUUUGCAGGAAUACUACCCAAUCCAAAGUUCUGAUUUUUGGAAGGGGGUGGAUGGUGACAACGGGGAAUGAUUGUCAGAAGAAGUGAUGUCUGUGCUGAGACGCGAAUAAUAAACUAGAAGUUAGCCAGGUCAAAGUUUGGGGAAGGGAGGCAAAUCGGGUAUUCUUGGCAAAAGAGACAGUAUGAGUCUAGGCACCGAGGCAAGAAAAAACAUAGUUCUGUUAAAGAAUUGGAAGAAGUUCAGUCUCUUUGGAGUACUCUCUAAGAAGAAUGUGUCAAGAGUCUACAGAGGUGGUCACAUUCAGAGCUAAGCCCCUUUAUGUUUGGGACUUUAUUCUAGGCGGGGUCUAUAGCAGGGGAUUGACAUCACAAAGACCCCUCUGGCUUCAUAGUCAAGCAUGGACUGGCUGGGGGAGCAGUCAGAGGGUUACUGCAGAAAUUGAGCAUGGAGAAAUCGCUCACUGCGUCUAGAAUGGCAAUUGCACAGAUGCUGGUCGUGUCACUCUUGAAGCCUUAACUGAAGAAUGUUUAAUAUGAAGGAACCAUUUACAGAAGAGCAGGCUGUGUUAGAAGAACCAGCAAUGGAUGGAGAAGCACCCAGGUCUUAGCAACUGGGAAGCUGCUUCCACCCCAGGGACCUAGGAGAAGAGAAAGUUUCUGUGAGCUGGUCUCCUGUUCUUGCUUCUGAGUGGUUGCUGACAACUGGAAGGCAGAGUCUAGGGAGCCUGAGUGAUGUGCUUAGUACAUCGAGUUUUACUCUUGGAGCACAGAGCAAGGCAGAGAAGGGCAGAGAAUGAAUCUGGAGAAAGCAGAGACAGAAAAAAUAAAAUCGCAAAAAGUGUA
This is a long non-coding RNA of Leopardus geoffroyi (Geoffroy's cat), 931 nucleotides long. RefSeq lists it as uncharacterized. The record is from RefSeq and is a predicted model, not a curated record. The transcript has 3 exons. NCBI's taxonomy places the organism in Eukaryota, Metazoa, Chordata, Mammalia, Carnivora, Felidae.